Molecule: ribosomal RNA, 425 nt
Filed under: uncultured bacterium
Lineage: Bacteria
Description: bacterial SSU rRNA
Rfam family: Bacterial small subunit ribosomal RNA
Source: RNAcentral
GGGGAAUAUUGCACAAUGGGCGCAAGCCUGAUGCAGCCAUGCCGCGUGUAUGAAGAAGGCCUUCGGGUUGUAAAGUACUUUCAGCGAGGAGGAAGGCGAUAAGGUUAAUAACCUUGUCGAUUGACGUUACUCGCAGAAGAAGCACCGGCUAACUCCGUGCCAGCAGCCGCGGUAAUACGGAGGGUGCAAGCGUUAAUCGGAAUUACUGGGCGUAAAGCGCACGCAGGCGGUCUGUUAAGUCAGAUGUGAAAUCCCCGGGCUCAACCUGGGAACUGCAUUUGAAACUGGCAGGCUUGAGUCUUGUAGAGGGGGGUAGAAUUCCAGGUGUAGCGGUGAAAUGCGUAGAGAUCUGGAGGAAUACCGGUGGCGAAGGCGGCCCCCUGGACAAAGACUGACGCUCAGGUGCGAAAGCGUGGGGAGCAAAC